RNAcentral lists this transfer RNA (76 nucleotides) under Candidatus Planktophila sp. Its description in RNAcentral is "tRNA-Arg". It matches the Rfam family "tRNA". Rfam says of the family: Transfer RNA (tRNA) molecules are approximately 80 nucleotides in length. Their secondary structure includes four short double-helical elements and three loops (D, anti-codon, and T loops). The record is from RNAcentral. Lineage: Bacteria; Bacillati; Actinomycetota; Actinomycetes; Candidatus Nanopelagicales; Candidatus Nanopelagicaceae.
GCGCGCGUAGCUCAACGGAUAGAGCAUCUGACUACGGAUCAGAAGGUUGGGGGUUCGAAUCCCUUCGCGCGCACCA